Molecule: ribosomal RNA, 253 nt
Filed under: uncultured bacterium
Lineage: Bacteria
Description: partial 16S ribosomal RNA
Rfam family: Bacterial small subunit ribosomal RNA
Source: RNAcentral
UACGUAGGGUGCAAGCGUUGUCCGGAAUUAUUGGGCGUAAAGAGCUCGUAGGCGGUUUGUCGCGUCUGCUGUGAAAACGCGAGGCUCAACCUCGCGCCUGCAGUGGGUACGGGCAGACUAGAGUGCGGUAGGGGAGAUUGGAAUUCCUGGUGUAGCGGUGGAAUGCGCAGAUAUCAGGAGGAACACCAAUGGCGAAGGCAGAUCUCUGGGCCGUAACUGACGCUGAGGAGCGAAAGCAUGGGGAGCGAACAGG